Molecule: non-coding RNA, 2701 nt
Organism: Theobroma cacao (cacao)
Lineage: Eukaryota; Viridiplantae; Streptophyta; Magnoliopsida; Malvales; Malvaceae
Source: RefSeq, a predicted model, not a curated record
CGGGACGUCGUGACGGUUGUCACCGGCUCGAUGGGAGUUCCGGGUCGUAACACGUUAUUAUUAGCAAAUACAUCUAAUUGUUCUUGUACUUCAGCUUCAUGUUUUUUCAAUAAAGCUAUCUUCGCUUCAAUGUCUUCUAACUCAUUUUCCAAUGAAGACUUGUUGAGAAAAAUCUUGACUUUAGAUUUACAAUCACUGAGGCACUCAAGCUUGAAUCCAAAGUUACAAGCAUCAUCGAAAUCCUGUAACAUCUGUUGCAAUUCCUCUGAUGAAGCACUCAUUAGUGGAGCAUGGGAAAUGGCUAAAGCUCGACCCAACACUUCCAUCAUUAAGCAAAUGACGUCUACGUUUUUUACAAAAGAGUAUGUGCUACUUGAGUGCCAGAAGCACUACUUGCAUCUCUAUGUUCUGGCACUGGGGAUGAAAAAGCACGAGGAUUAUUUGGAAUAGCUCCAACAUUAUCAGUAUCAACUCCAACAUCAUGAAUAACCUCAACAUUUGGAGUAGCCUCAGGGACAACUUCAACAGCAGGAAUAGUCUCAGUGUCAGGAACAACCUCAUCUCAAAUAACUUGGGAAGUAAGAAUAAUCUUAACUUUAAAAAAAAAAUGGAACAACAUCAAUCGGAGUAACAUAGUGAUAUGUUUAUACCUGAUUCAUGGUAGAGCUUUGAACACGAUUUGGAAUUAGAACAUCCAAAUCAAUGAAAUUAUCAAAAGGGACUAGCUCACCUUCAACUUCAGCUUCAUCAACAUCAACAGACUCAUCAUCAAAUUCAUUACUAUGUUCAGAGUCAUAUGAUUCUUUCUCAGUCUUAGCUUCAAAAGUCUCUUCCUCUUCAACUGAGUUAAGUUCUACUUUCGCAGUUGUUUCUCUCUACAAAAAAAAAAUAUGAUGAGGAAAUGAAUUUAAAAAAAAAGUAAAUGAAGAAGUAAAUGAUGAACUUACUUUUCGAUGCACAUGUUUUAUUUGAUUAGUAAGUGCGUGAGGAACAUCAUCUUCUUUUUCAAUUACAUUUUUUUUCUUUUUUAGAGAAAUCAAGCAUAAGGAUAUAUCGGAGUUACUUAUAGGAGGAGUGUAGAGACAAGCUCUGGGAUUAGUCAAAGACAUAAUAAAAGAUCUCCAUUUUUCAACACACUUCCUCCAAUAAGCAAACCAUCUAAAAGUGUGGAUACCAACUCUAUCAAAAGCUGAGACAGUACAACUCUUAAGUUUAUCUAAAAGGAGUUGAAGUCCUACCAUGAGGAAUGAAGAAAUGCAAGAAGAAAAACUGAUAGUUAAAGAAGAGUCAGGCGGAGCUGGUUGGUCAAACUCAAAUUGGCAUGCCACUCUAGAAGGAGAAUAUACCUCAACAGAAAGAAUAUUUCUAUCUCCACCUGAACUGGAACUCUCAAUCAUAGAUGGCAAUUGGGAACUAUGAACCCAUACAUAAAAGUUAAUACCGUAUGAACUCAUUCUUCCAGACUGUAGAAGGUGGCGAUCAUAAUAAAUUUCAGGAUCACUAAAUCCAUUUAUGGGCUGCACAUAAGGUCUGGGAUUGAAUUCUUUUGUCACAUCCAUCAUUUCAAGAACAUUACCUCUCAAAAGUCGAUCAUGCCAUGCCGAAGCUCUGUAGUUGUUCCUGGAUAAAGGGUUAUUCACGAAAAAAGAUGCAAAAGGAUAUGCAUUAGGCACGAGAGCGCAAAUACCAAACCUUUCCUAUAGGCACAUCUGAAUGAAGGAAGCAUCCACAUAAGUUAAAACUUUGUAAUACCCAGCUGAUUCAACAGUUUUAAGUUAGUACAAGUCUAAUCUCUUAUAUAGAGAUCCUAAAUACAGUGGAGCAAGAGGAAAAUGCAUUCCCUUAACAAUUUUUAUUGCUAAAGGAACAAUUGCUGGAGAGAUACCAUCAUCUGGACACCCUGGGAGUAUGUGUCGUGCCAACCAAAAGAUUAUUAAAGCCACUAGCUCAUGCUUAUGGUCUAGGUACUCAAGAGAACCAAUUUCAAUUCCCUUAGCAUUGAACUUUUUAUAAAAAAUCCCUAUCCAAUUAGAGAAUUAUGCAACCUUCGAAAUUUUAAUUAGACUCUUAAGUAGAUCAAGGAAAAAGUCUCGAAUACCUACCUUUUCUUCAAAAGUUUAAUAGAGUGAAAAUCAUGUUUUCCUAUACAAGGAAGUUCCAAGAGAACACAUACAUCUUCCAGAGUGAAGGUAAAUUCCCCCCAUGCUGCAAUCAUAGUAUGAAAAAAAGUGCUCCACCUUGCAAGAAUAGCGCGCCAUACAUUCAUCCUUUUUUCUCUACAAAUAUUAAGCUUGGAAAUGACACGUAUAACAUCAAGUAUCCCAGCAGAAGAGAGAAGUUUAACAUAAGAAAGAUUUUUCAACACCUUAAUCACCCAGUCAUCCCAACCAUGAACAAAUUCAUAAUUGGAGCCUAACUUAAUAGCAGAAAGGGAAAACUCACCACGUUCAAACCUGAACUUCAGAAUAGAUUGUCCUGGAAUACCAAUUCUUUUAUAAGGAGGUGCUUCUGAGCAUAGACGAUUCCAAUCAUAUCCAACAGGCUCAGAGGGAUGUUCGUCACCCUGUUUAGCACGAAUUUCUUCCCCAAAACGAUAUUCUCCUCGUUCUUUAAUAAUUUUAUCUUCUCAAUUUUCAAGGACAAGAGAAACUUCACCACUAUUUCCUACUCUAAUUUUCUUGGAAGCAACUAAUUCUGAAUC